GAUGAACGCUAGCGGCAGGCCUAAUACAUGCAAGUCGGACGGGAACCAUAGAUAGCUUGCUAUCAAUGGUGAGAGUGGCGCACGGGUGCGUAACGCGUGAGCAACCUGUUUUCAUCAGGGGGAUAGCCUCUCGACAGUGAGAAUAACACCGCAUAAUAUCAACAGUUCGCAUGUUCAGUUGAUUAAAUCUAUAUAGGAUGGAGAUGCGCUAGCGUGACUUUAGCUAGUAGGUAGGGUAACGGUUUACCAAGACGCCGACGUCUAGGGGCACUGAGAGGAGAAUCCCUGACACUGGGACAGAGACACGGACCAGACGCGUACGAGAAGUAGCAAUUAGGAAGAUAGGGCAAUGAGCGUGAGCGUGAACCAGCCAGGGCGUGUGCAGGAUGACUGGCCUAUGGAUUGUAAACUGCUGUUGAGCAGGAAUGAAACUGAAUACAAGUAUCUAGCUGAAGGUACUGGAAGAAUAAGGAACGGCUAACUCCGUG
This 488-nucleotide ribosomal RNA is filed under the name uncultured bacterium. RNAcentral describes it as "partial 16S ribosomal RNA". It matches the Rfam family "Bacterial small subunit ribosomal RNA", at positions 28 to 507 of the family's 1533-position model. The record is from RNAcentral.